UUUGGUGCUCGUGAUGACUUGAGACUUUUUUCCCCAUCAGAGCGGAAGUGUUGAAUUCUUUGCUAUUAGCCAGAACUUGUCUGACUGCACCAAU
RNAcentral lists this small nucleolar RNA (94 nucleotides) under Naja naja (Indian cobra). RNAcentral describes it as "Small nucleolar SNORD12/SNORD106 (ENSNNAG00000001030.1)". It matches the Rfam family "Small nucleolar SNORD12/SNORD106". From Rfam's summary of the family: This family belong to the C/D class of snoRNA which contain the C (UGAUGA) and D (CUGA) box motifs. This family includes the human ortholog of mouse snoRNA HBII-99 and human snoRNA U106. The record is from Rfam by way of RNAcentral. Lineage: Eukaryota; Metazoa; Chordata; Lepidosauria; Squamata; Elapidae.